GAGGAUAUAGCUCAAUGGUAGAGCACGUGCUUAGCAUGCAGGAGGUCCUGGAUUCAAUCCCCAGUACUGCCA
Molecule: transfer RNA, 72 nt
Filed under: Camelus bactrianus (Bactrian camel)
Lineage: Eukaryota; Metazoa; Chordata; Mammalia; Artiodactyla; Camelidae
Also listed under: 2 other names
Rfam family: tRNA
About the family: Transfer RNA (tRNA) molecules are approximately 80 nucleotides in length. Their secondary structure includes four short double-helical elements and three loops (D, anti-codon, and T loops). Further hydrogen bonds mediate the characteristic L-shaped molecular structure. tRNAs have two regions of fundamental functional importance: the anti-codon, which is responsible for specific mRNA codon recognition, and the 3' end, to which the tRNAs corresponding amino acid is attached (by aminoacyl-tRNA synthetases). tRNAs cope with the degeneracy of the genetic code in two manners: having more than one tRNA (with a specific anti-codon) for a particular amino acid; and 'wobble' base-pairing, i.e. permitting non-standard base-pairing at the 3rd anti-codon position.
Source: Rfam by way of RNAcentral